This 965-nucleotide ribosomal RNA is filed under the name uncultured eubacterium WCHA1-39. RNAcentral describes it as "bacterial SSU rRNA". It matches the Rfam family "Bacterial small subunit ribosomal RNA", at positions 524 to 1482 of the family's 1533-position model. Lineage: Bacteria; Candidatus Aminicenantota. The record is from RNAcentral.
UACGUAGGGGGCAAACGUUGCUCGGAAUUACUGGGCGUAAAGGGUGAGUAGGCGGCUGUGCAAGUCAGGGAUGAAAUCCCGCGGCUUAACCGCGGAACUGUCUUUGAAACUGCACGGCUUGAGGACAGUAGAAGAGAAUGGAAUUCCCGGUGGAGCGGUGAAAUGCGUAGAUAUCGGGAGGAACACCUGAGGCGAAAGCGAUUCUCUAUACUGCUCCUGACGCUGAGUCACGAAAGCCAGGGGAGCAAACGGGAUUAGAUACCCCGGUAGUCCUGGCCAUAAACGAUGGAUACUGGAUAUUCCUGCAGUUGUGUGGGAGUGUCUAAGCUAACGCGUUAAGUAUCCCGCCUGGGGAGUACGGUCGCAAGGCUGAAACUCAAAGAAAUUGACGGGGGCCCGCACAAGCAGUGGAGCAUGUGGUUUAAUUCGACGCAACGCGAAGAACCUUACCUAGGCUUGAACCGGCAGCAGUAGAAACCCGAAAGGGGGACGAUUCCGGUUUACCGGAAAACUGCCAGAGGUGCUGCAUGGCUGUCGUCAGCUCGUGUCGUGAGAUGUUGGGUUAAGUCCCGCAACGAGCGCAACCCUUGUCUUUAGUUGCCAGCGAGUCAUGUCGGGCACUCUAAGGAGACUGCCUCGGACAACGGGGAGGAAGGUGGGGAUGACGUCAAGUCAGCAUGGCCUUUAUGUCUAGGGCUACACACGUGCUACAAUGGACGGUACAGAGGGAAGCAAGACCGCGAGGUGGAGCUAAUCCUUAAAACCGUUCUCAGUUCGGAUUGGAGGCUGCAAUUCGCCUCCAUGAAGUCGGAAUUGCUAGUAAUCGCGGAUCAGCUACGCCGCGGUGAAUACGUUCUCGGGCCUUGUACACACCGCCCGUCACAUCACGAAAGCUGGUUGUGCCCGAAGUCGCUGAGCUAACCGCAAGGAGGCAGGCGCCGAAGGCAUGGUCGGUGAUUGGGGUG